GAGUUUGAUCCUGGCUCAGAUUGAACGCUGGCGGCAGGCCUAACACAUGCAAGUCGAACGGUAACAGGAAGAAGCUUGCUUCUUUGCUGACGAGUGGCGGACGGGUGAGUAAUGUCUGGGAAACUGCCUGAUGGAGGGGGAUAACUACUGGAAACGGUAGCUAAUACCGCAUAACGUCGCAAGACCAAAGAGGGGGACCUUCGGGCCUCUUGCCAUCGGAUGUGCCCAGAUGGGAUUAGCUAGUAGGUGGGGUAACGGCUCACCUAGGCGACGAUCCCUAGCUGGUCUGAGAGGAUGACCAGCCACACUGGAACUGAGACACGGUCCAGACUCCUACGGGAGGCAGCAGUGGGGAAUAUUGCACAAUGGGCGCAAGCCUGAUGCAGCCAUGCCGCGUGUAUGAAGAGGGCCUUCGGGUUGUAAAGUACUUUCAGCGGGGAGGAAGGGAGUAAAGUUAAUACCUUUGCUCAUUGACGUUACCCGCAGAAGA
Molecule: ribosomal RNA, 490 nt
Filed under: uncultured bacterium
Lineage: Bacteria
Description: bacterial SSU rRNA
Rfam family: Bacterial small subunit ribosomal RNA
Source: RNAcentral